This 463-nucleotide ribosomal RNA is filed under the name uncultured bacterium. RNAcentral describes it as "partial 16S ribosomal RNA". It matches the Rfam family "Bacterial small subunit ribosomal RNA", at positions 28 to 507 of the family's 1533-position model. The record is from RNAcentral.
GAUGAACGCUGCCAGAAUGCUUAACACAUGCAAGUCUUUGGCGAAGCUGUGCUUGCACCGCCUAGCCAAGGCGGACGGGUGAGUAACGCGUAAGGAACUUGCCCUGCAGUCAGGGAUAACAGACGGAAACGACUGAUAAGACCUGGUAAAGUCAGGCGGACUCAUGUCCAGCCUGAUGAAAAGAGAUGCUGCAGGAGAGCCUUGCGUCCUAUUAGCUUGUUGGUGGGGUAACGGCCCACCAAGGCGAUGAUAGGUAGCCGGCCUGAGAGGGUGGACGGCCACAAGGGGACUGAGAUACGGCCCUUACGCCUACGGGAGGCAGCAGUGGGGAAUAUUGGACAAUGGGGGCAACCCUGAUCCAGCAAUUCUGUGUGCACGAUGAAGGUUUUCGGAUUGUAAAGUGCUUUCAGCAGGGAAGAAAAAAAUGACGGUACCUGCAGAAGAAGCGACGGCUAAAUACGUG